AGCGAACGCUGGCGGCAGGCUUAACACAUGCAAGUCGAGCGGGCAUCCUUGUGGUGUCAGCGGCAGACGGGUGAGUAACGCGUGGGAACGUGCCCUUCGGUUCGGAAUAACUCAGGGAAACUUGAGCUAAUACCGGAUACGUGCGAGAGCAGAAAGGUUUAUCUGCCGAAGGAUCGGCCCGCGUCUGAUUAGCUAGUUGGUGAGGUUAUGGCUCACCAAGGCGACGAUCAGUAGCUGGUCUGAGAGGAUGAUCAGCCACACUGGGACUGAGACACGGCCCAGACUCCUACGGGAGGCAGCAGUGGGAAUAUUGGACAAUGGGGGCAACCCUGAUCCAGCCAUGCCGCGUGAGUGAUGACGGCCUUAGGGUUGUAAAGCUCUUUUCUCCGGGACGAUAAUGACGGUACCGGAGGAAU
This 416-nucleotide ribosomal RNA is filed under the name uncultured bacterium. RNAcentral describes it as "bacterial SSU rRNA". It matches the Rfam family "Bacterial small subunit ribosomal RNA", at positions 29 to 487 of the family's 1533-position model. The record is from RNAcentral.